UUCCGGUUGAUCCUGCCGGACCUGACUGCUAUCGGAUUGAUACUAAGCCAUGCGAGUCAUUGUAGCAAUACAAGGCAUACGGCUCAGUAACGCGUAGUCAACCUAACCUAUGGACGGGAAUAACCUCGGGAAACUGAGAAUAAUGCCCGAUAGAACACUAUACCUGGAAUGGUUUGUGUUCCAAAUGAUUUAUCGCCGUAGGAUGGGACUGCGGCCUAUCAGUUUGUUGGUGAGGUAAUGGCCCACCAAGACUAUUACAGGUACGGGCUCUGAGAGGAGUAGCCCGGAGAUGGGUACUGAGACACGGACCCAGGCCCUAUGGGGCGCAGCAGGCGAGAAAACUUUGCAAUGUGCGAAAGCACGACAAGGUUAAUCCGAGUGGUUUCUGCUAAAGGAACCUUUUGUUAGUCCUAGAAACACUAACGAAUAAGGGGUGGGCAAGUUCUGGUGUCAGCCGCCGCGGUAAAACCAGCACCUCAAGUGGUCAGGAUGAUUAUUGGGCCUAAAGCAUCCGUAGCCGGCUCUGUAAGUUUUCGGUAAAUCUGUACGCUUAACGUACAGGCUG
Molecule: ribosomal RNA, 565 nt
Filed under: uncultured archaeon
Lineage: Archaea
Description: bacterial SSU rRNA
Rfam family: Archaeal small subunit ribosomal RNA
Source: RNAcentral